Molecule: transfer RNA, 72 nt
Filed under: Amphimedon compressa (erect rope sponge)
Lineage: Eukaryota; Metazoa; Porifera; Demospongiae; Haplosclerida; Niphatidae
Description: tRNA-Asn
Rfam family: tRNA
About the family: Transfer RNA (tRNA) molecules are approximately 80 nucleotides in length. Their secondary structure includes four short double-helical elements and three loops (D, anti-codon, and T loops).
Source: RNAcentral
UCUACAAUAGCUUAGUGGUAAAGUAUUUGACUGUUAACCAAAAUAACACCAGUUCGAACCUGGUUUGUAGAG